GUUGUAUGGUUAAGUGACUAAGCGUACACGGUGGAUGCCUUGGCAGUCAGAGGCGAUGAAGGACGUAGUAACUUGCGAUAAGCCCAGAUUAGGUAGUAACAACCAUUUGAGUCUGGGAUUUCCGAAUGGGGAAACCCACU
Molecule: ribosomal RNA, 140 nt
Filed under: Vibrio parahaemolyticus
Lineage: Bacteria; Pseudomonadati; Pseudomonadota; Gammaproteobacteria; Vibrionales; Vibrionaceae
Description: partial 23S ribosomal RNA
Rfam family: Bacterial large subunit ribosomal RNA
Source: RNAcentral